AUUGAACGCUGGCGGCAUGCUUUACACAUGCAAGUCGAGCGGUAACAGCACUUCGGUGGCUGACGAGUGGCGAACGGGUGAGUAAUACAUCGGAACGUGCCUAGUAGUGGGGGAUAUCUACUCGAAAGAGUAGCUAAUACCGCAUGAGAUCUAAGGAUGAAAGCAGGGGACCUUCGGGCCUUGCGCUACUAGAGCGGCUGAUGGCAGAUUAGGUAGUUGGUGGGAUAAAAGCUUACCAAGCCGACGAUCUGUAGCUGGUCUGAGAGGACGACCAGCCACACUGGGACUGAGACACGGCCCAGACUCCUACGGGAGGCAGCAGUGGGGAAUUUUGGACAAUGGGCGCAAGCCUGAUCCAGCAAUGCCGCGUGCAGGAUGAAGGCCUUCGGGUUGUAAACUGCUUUUGUACGGAACGAAAAGCCCUCUUCUAAUACAGGAGGGUCAUGACGGUACCGUAAGAAUAAGCACCGGCUAACUACGUG
This 482-nucleotide ribosomal RNA is filed under the name uncultured bacterium. RNAcentral describes it as "partial 16S ribosomal RNA". It matches the Rfam family "Bacterial small subunit ribosomal RNA", at positions 30 to 507 of the family's 1533-position model. The record is from RNAcentral.